Molecule: ribosomal RNA, 466 nt
Filed under: Vreelandella stevensii
Lineage: Bacteria; Pseudomonadati; Pseudomonadota; Gammaproteobacteria; Oceanospirillales; Halomonadaceae
Description: partial 16S ribosomal RNA
Rfam family: Bacterial small subunit ribosomal RNA
Source: RNAcentral
CCUACGGGUGGCUGCAGUGGGGAAUAUUGGACAAUGGGGGGGAACCCUGAUCCAGCCAUGCCGCGUGUGUGAAGAAGGCCCUCGGGUUGUAAAGCACUUUCAGUGAGGAAGAACGCCUGGUGGUUAAUACCCAUCAGGAAAGACAUCACUCACAGAAGAAGCACCGGCUAACUCCGUGCCAGCAGCCGCGGUAAUACGGAGGGUGCGAGCGUUAAUCGGAAUUACUGGGCGUAAAGCGCGCGUAGGUGGCUUGAUAAGCCGGUUGUGAAAGCCCCGGGCUCAACCUGGGAACGGCAUCCGGAACUGUCAAGCUAGAGUGCAGGAGAGGAAGGUAGAAUUCCCGGUGUAGCGGUGAAAUGCGUAGAGAUCGGGAGGAAUACCAGUGGCGAAGGCGGCCUUCUGGACUGACACUGACACUGAGGUGCGAAAGCGUGGGUAGCAAACAGGAUUAGAUACCCCGGUAGUC